RNAcentral lists this ribosomal RNA (404 nucleotides) under Actinomycetes bacterium. RNAcentral describes it as "Actinobacteria bacterium partial 16S ribosomal RNA". It matches the Rfam family "Bacterial small subunit ribosomal RNA", at positions 355 to 776 of the family's 1533-position model. Lineage: Bacteria; Bacillati; Actinomycetota; Actinomycetes. The record is from RNAcentral.
UGGGGAAUAUUGGACAAUGGGCGCAAGCCUGAUCCAGCCAUGCCGCGUGAGUGAUGAAGGCCCUAGGGUUGUAAAGCUCUUUCACCGGUGAAGAUAAUGACGGUAACCGGAGAAGAAGCCCCGGCUAACUUCGUGCCAGCAGCCGCGGUAAUACGAAGGGGGCUAGCGUUGUUCGGAUUUACUGGGCGUAAAGCGCACGUAGGCGGACUAUUAAGUCAGGGGUGAAAUCCCGGGGCUCAACCCCGGAACUGCCUUUGAUACUGGUAGUCUUGAGUUCGAGAGAGGUGAGUGGAAUUCCGAGUGUAGAGGUGAAAUUCGUAGAUAUUCGGAGGAACACCAGUGGCGAAAGCGGCUCACUGGCUCGAUACUGACGCUGAGGUGCGAAAGAGUGGGGAGCAAACAGG